AUUGCGUCGUCCCCCCCCUUCACCCGUGCCCUGAAAGGGGCGCGGGCCUUGGCGUGGGGGCGGAAGUUGGCUUCCCGUGCAGUGUGUGCGGCUAGCCUGAAACACGGUUCCCUCGCCGCGGAAGUCGCGACAAGUGGUGGUCGUCGAGAUUGUACGCGAGUUGCCGGCAGGCUGCGUCGAGGAGAGCAUUUGGACCCUGUGCGUGCGGGAUGAGCCCCUCACAGAGGGGCAAUUCCAACGAUUGCGACCCCAGGUCAGGC
RNAcentral lists this ribosomal RNA (260 nucleotides) under Cynanchum rostellatum. RNAcentral describes it as "partial 26S ribosomal RNA". The record is from RNAcentral. Lineage: Eukaryota; Viridiplantae; Streptophyta; Magnoliopsida; Gentianales; Apocynaceae.